Molecule: ribosomal RNA, 598 nt
Filed under: uncultured eukaryote
Lineage: Eukaryota
Description: SSU rRNA
Rfam family: Eukaryotic small subunit ribosomal RNA
Source: RNAcentral
CGACCGCGGCUUCGGCCGCGGGAAGGGCGCACUUAUUAGGCGAAAACCAAUCGGCUUCGGCCGUUGGUGGACGACACCCGAGUAAUUGCCGCCGAUCGCACGGCCUCGAGCCGGCGACGCCUCCACUGAGUUUCUGAUCUAUCAUGCUGUCGACGGUUGGUGCUAUGCCAACCGUGGCGUUAACGGAUAACAGAGAAUCUGGGUUCGAUUCUGGAGAGGCCGCAUGAGAAACGGCGACCACUUCCAAGAAGGCAGCAGGCACGCAAAUUACCCACUUCGGACACCGAGAGGUAGUGACGAACAAUACCGAUGCGGUGCACUUACGUGUCGCCGUAAUCGGAAUGAGUACACUUCAAAUCCUUUAACGAGGAUCCACUGGAGGGCAAGCCUGGUGCCAGCAGCCGCGGUAAUUCCAGCUCCAGCAGCGUAUAUUUAUAUUGCUGCGUUUAAAAAGCUCGUAGUUGAAGCGUCAGACGCGGGAGGACGGACGGCCGCACUGGUCGCUUCUCGUCCGACCGAGCCAGGCGCAGAGGGCGUCCGUCGGUUGCACUUCACCGUGUGAUCGCGGCGUCGCUGCACGUUCACCUUUGAAGAAAAU